GAUGAAGAACGUAGCGAAAUGCGAUAAGUAGUGUGAAUUGCAGAAUUCAGUGAAUCAUCGAAUCUUUGAACGCACAUUGCGCCCUUUGGUAUUCCUUAGGGCAUGCCUGUUCGAGCGUCAUUUAAACCUUCAUGCUAAGCUUGGUGUUGGGUGACUGUCCGCUUCACGGCGGACUCGCCUCAAAAUUAUUGGCGGCCGGUACAUUGGCUUCGAGCGCAGCAGAAACGCGAACUCGGGCCCGUCGUAUUGGCUCCCAGAAGCUAUCUUCACAAUUUUGACCUCGGAUCAGGUAGGGAUACCCGCUGAACUUAAGCAUAUCAAUAAGCGGAGGA
RNAcentral lists this unclassified non-coding RNA (332 nucleotides) under soil metagenome. RNAcentral describes it as "partial contains 5.8S ribosomal RNA, internal transcribed spacer 2, and large subunit ribosomal RNA". The stretch from base 1 to 120 matches the Rfam family "5.8S ribosomal RNA", at positions 35 to 154 of the family's 154-position model. The record is from RNAcentral.